Molecule: ribosomal RNA, 253 nt
Filed under: uncultured bacterium
Lineage: Bacteria
Description: partial 16S ribosomal RNA
Rfam family: Bacterial small subunit ribosomal RNA
Source: RNAcentral
UACGAAGGGGGCUAGCGUUGCUCGGAAUCACUGGGCGUAAAGGGUGCGUAGGCGGGUCUUUAAGUCAGGGGUGAAAUCCUGGAGCUCAACUCCAGAACUGCCUUUGAUACUGAAGAUCUUGAGUUCGGGAGAGGUGAGUGAAACUGCGAGUGUAGAGGUGAAAUUCGUAGAUAUUCGCAAGAACACCAGUGGCGAAGGCGGCUCACUGGCCCGAUACUGACGCUGAGGCGCGAAAGCGUGGGGAGCAAACAGG